Molecule: small RNA, 921 nt
Filed under: Rattus norvegicus (Norway rat)
Lineage: Eukaryota; Metazoa; Chordata; Mammalia; Rodentia; Muridae
Description: uncharacterized LOC102552297
Source: RNAcentral
UCGGAACCCGACCCGGAUUGGGCUAAGCUCGAGGAAGGGGCGGGCAGAAGCCUGUGAUUGGUAAGGACAGUGCGUUACUGGAUUUGAAGGCCCAAAGCCGCGCAGCCCAGAUAGCCGUGUGGACCCGGAUCAGCGACAGAACCCAGAUGCAGCAGUGUGCCUGGGAGAACCAGCAACAGACUAUCGGGGACAGACAAAUCUCUGGGCUCAACAGCUGACCAGCCAGCCUCGCCUACCUGGUGAGUUUCCCGGCAAGAAAGACCUUUUCUCAAACACAAAGGUGAGUCAUAACUAAGGAACAAUACCCAAGAGUGUCGUCUGACCUCUCUCUACAAAUACAAGUUAAUAUCAAAACAAAAUCUUUAAAAGAAAUAAACCCAAAUUCUUUGUCUUUCUUACAAUGAAUAUAAAUAAGGAUUGGAGCUGUCUUCUAGGCUAUGCACAUUACGUGGGCACUGUGUACAUCAUGGUCAGAGAUGUGUAUUGAUAAGAAAACCUCUGUGUAGCAGUUCAUCCAACAUGAUCUCAUUCUUUGAAUGCAAAACUAGUCACUGAAGUCAGUAAAUUAAAGUUAAAGGAUCUAAUGGUUAACUACCAGGCCAUCCUACUUUAAGUUUAGAAACAAAAAGGACAGAGAAAUCCUUAAAAUCAAAUUGAGGAAAGGAAAAUCUGGGCUGGUCCUACAGAAUAUAUAGUAAGACUGAACAUGGGAGGCCAUCAGGGCUUAGCCAGCCUGCACUCAGGACAAAUGACCCACUGCAGUUCUAUAGCUGAUGGUCAGACUAGAGUCAGCCCACUGUGAUGCUACAGACAUCAAAGGCAGUGUCACUGAUUAGACCAAGUUCCCUCAGUGGGACACAAAAAACACAGAGUCAGAACUCCAGUAUUCUUGAAUUUUGGAGUCUAAAAAGAAAAAAAAAA